UGCUCUUAGUAGUUUAAAUCAUUGUGUAG
RNAcentral lists this non-coding RNA (29 nucleotides) under Cricetulus griseus (Chinese hamster). Lineage: Eukaryota; Metazoa; Chordata; Mammalia; Rodentia; Cricetidae. The record is from RNAcentral.